This 290-nucleotide long non-coding RNA is filed under the name Coffea arabica (coffee). RNAcentral's name for it is "long non-coding RNA (CARA_LNC001851)". The record is from RNAcentral. Lineage: Eukaryota; Viridiplantae; Streptophyta; Magnoliopsida; Gentianales; Rubiaceae.
ACAAUCAUAGAAGUUCAUCCACUCCCUUGGUUUACAAACUACAAACUCUCCAUCUUCAUCUUCAACUUCAUCUAUGUCUAGCUACAUGUAAGGAUUAGAUGAACUAACUAUACUAAGUUUGUGGCGACCCCACUUCCCCCUAAGGCGAACCAAAGGGUUGGCGGGCCGUCUGCCCAGCUCUCGCCAGGACUCACGCAAGCAUUCUAACCCAAAACCUUCCGACGAUUAACCUAAGCUAUUACAAAAAUGAUUCUUCCGAAACAAAUCGAUUUCUAUCACCACAUUAACUU